RNAcentral lists this ribosomal RNA (264 nucleotides) under uncultured archaeon. RNAcentral describes it as "partial 16S ribosomal RNA". It matches the Rfam family "Archaeal small subunit ribosomal RNA", at positions 717 to 982 of the family's 1478-position model. The record is from RNAcentral.
ACACGACUACAUUAGAUACCCCUGUAGUCCCAGCCCUAAACGAUGCGCGUUAGGUGUAUCGGUGACCACGAGUCACCGAGGUGCCGAAGGGAAACCGUGAAACGUGCCGCCUGGGAAGUACGGUCGCAAGGCUGAAACUUAAAGGAAUUGGCGGGGAGCACCACAACGGGUGGAGCCUGCGGUUUAAUUGGACUCAACGCCGGGAAGCUUACCGGAUAAGACAGCGGAAUGAUUGCCGGGCUGAAGACCCUGCAUGACCAGCUG